This 246-nucleotide ribosomal RNA is filed under the name uncultured bacterium. RNAcentral describes it as "partial 16S ribosomal RNA". It matches the Rfam family "Bacterial small subunit ribosomal RNA", at positions 15 to 240 of the family's 1533-position model. The record is from RNAcentral.
GAUCCUGGCUCAGGACGAACGCUGGCGGCGUGCCUAACACAUGCAAGUCGAGCGGAGAUGUACAGACGGAAGGCUUCGGCUGGAAGACGGUGCAUUUUAGCGGCGGACGGGUGAGUAACGCGUGAGCAACCUUUCCUUCACAGGGGGAUAAGAUACCGAAAGGUGUUCUAAUACCGCAUGAGACCACAGAGCCACAUGGUUCAGGGGUCAAAGGAGGAAUCCGGUGAAGGGUGGGCUCGCGUCCGA